Molecule: ribosomal RNA, 607 nt
Filed under: Cyphomyrmex minutus symbiont FL12
Lineage: Eukaryota; Fungi; Basidiomycota; Agaricomycetes; Agaricales; Agaricaceae
Also listed under: 1 other name
Description: eukaryotic LSU rRNA
Rfam family: Eukaryotic large subunit ribosomal RNA
Source: RNAcentral
GGAGGAAAAGAACUAACAAGGAUUCCCCUAGUAACUGCGAGUGAAGCGGGAAAAGCUCAAAUUUAAAAUCUGGCAGUCUUUGGCUGUCCGAGUUGUAAUCUAGAGAAGUGUUGCCCGCGCUGGACCGUGUACAAGUCUCCUGGGAUGGAGCGUCAUAGAGGGUGAGAAUCCCGUCUCUGACACGGACUACCAGGGCUUUGUGGUACGCUCUCAAAGAGUCGAGUUGUUUGGGAAUGCAGCUCAAAAUGGGUGGUAAAUUCCAUCUAAAGCUAAAUAUUGGCGAGAGACCGAUAGCGAACAAGUACCGUGAGGGAAAGAUGAAAAGAACUUUGGAAAGAGAGUUAAACAGUACGUGAAAUUGCUGAAAGGGAAACGCUUGAAGUCAGUCGCAUUAGCUGGGGAUCAGCCUUGCUUUUUGCUGGGUGUAUUUCCUGGUUGAUGGGUCAGCAUCAAUUUUGACCGCUGGAAAAAGGCUUGAGGAAUGUGGCACCUCCGUGGUGUGUUAUAGCUUCUUGUCACAUACAGUGGUUGGGAUUGAGGAACUCAGCACGCCGCAAGGCCGGGUUUCGACCACGUUCGUGCUUAGGAUGCUGACAAAAUGGCUUUA